AAAUAAUCAAUGAUGAAGAGAGUAAACAGAAUGUUUUUCUUUAAGCGAGUGAGGGGAGGGAGAGCCUGACAGAAAACUUUAGUCGAAACGCACUUCAUCGAUGAAGUGGUGAAAAAAGUAGCCUCUUCCGCGAAUCAGGCGUUACUAUAAUGAGGUGGAUAUGCCAAGGCAUGUCAACUAGAGUGGUACCGCGGAUAAUAUAAAUUUAGCCCGUCUCUUGU
Molecule: non-coding RNA, 221 nt
Filed under: Jeotgalibaca dankookensis
Lineage: Bacteria; Bacillati; Bacillota; Bacilli; Lactobacillales; Carnobacteriaceae
Description: T-box sequence
Rfam family: T-box leader
About the family: Uncharged tRNA acts as the effector for transcription antitermination of genes in the T-box leader family. T-boxes are found upstream of many aminoacyl-tRNA synthetase genes and some amino acid biosynthetic genes usually in Gram-positive bacteria.
Source: RNAcentral